CACGUAGGGUGCGAGCGUUGUCCGGAAUUAUUGGGCGUAAAGAGCUCGUAGGCGGUUUGUCGCGUCGGCCGUGAAAACCUGCAGCUUAACUGUGGGCGUGCGGUCGAUACGGGCAUCACUGGAGUUCGGUAGGGGAGACUGGAAUUCCUGGUGUAGCGGUGAAAUGCGCAGAUAUCAGGAGGAACACCGGUGGCGAAGGCGGGUCUCUGGGCCGAUACUGACGCUGAGGAGCGAAAGCGUGGGGAGCGAACAGG
This 254-nucleotide ribosomal RNA is filed under the name uncultured bacterium. RNAcentral describes it as "partial 16S ribosomal RNA". It matches the Rfam family "Bacterial small subunit ribosomal RNA", at positions 524 to 776 of the family's 1533-position model. The record is from RNAcentral.